RNAcentral lists this ribosomal RNA (231 nucleotides) under uncultured bacterium. RNAcentral's name for it is "partial 16S ribosomal RNA". It matches the Rfam family "Bacterial small subunit ribosomal RNA", at positions 103 to 334 of the family's 1533-position model. The record is from RNAcentral.
CGGGUGAGUAACGCGUGGGUAACCUGCCUCAUACAGGGGGAUAACAGUUAGAAAUGACUGCUAAUACCGCAUAAGCACACAGUACCGCAUGGUACAGUGUGAAAAACUCCGGUGGUAUGAGAUGGACCUGCGUCUGAUUAGCUAGUUGGCGGGGUAACGGCCCACCAAGGCAACGAUCAGUAGCCGACCUGAGAGGGUGACCGGCCACAUUGGGACUGAGACACGGCCCAA